AGGACAUUAGGUUUUAUAAGAACAAAUGCUUCCAGAGUUAGAGGAUUAGUACCAUUAAAAUCUAUGAAGUAUGCUGAGCUUUCCUAUGGAAACUAUUAGUCCAGCAAACCGUUUCUGUACUUUGCAGGUGUCCAUUUGCUGUCUAUAAACCUGAUGAUGGAAUAGACGUUGACAUAUCCAUUUUAUUCACAUGUUCUGUGAAAUACAAUUGGAAAACUAAAGACAUGACUCAAGGAGAAUACUAAGUUGAAGCUCAGGAGAGAGGAUGGGUCAGAGUCUUCAGGGUUGUCUCAAGUGAGCUCGUAUCUGCUUCUCGUGAAGCCUCUUGAUGGUACAUCUUCAAAUUAUCUCCCCUCCUUGUUAAUGCGGGAAGAGCACUGAAGUGGGAAUGAAGAGAUUUGCUUCUUGUCUAGACUCUGCCAUUGACCCACAAAAUGGCCUUGGAUAAUCCCCUUCCUCCUGCUGGGCUCCAGCUGCCAUCUGGACCGUGAUGAGCUCCUGGAGCACUGCAUCGGGAGGGCUGCCGGUCCCUGCCAACUAGACACAGAGGGAAAUUGGCUCCAAAACUGGAACAAGCUUCAAAUCCUGUUCUGGGAAGACCAGGGCUGGGAAAGGGGUGGCUUGGGGCUGGUUCCCUCCUGCACUGACACGGAGGAGCUGGAAGGCCAUGCCCUGCCUGGGAUGCAGCCUGGGGCACGGGUGGGGUAAGCAUGCACAGGGUUCCAGCAUUGAUGGUUUAUGUCAAUGUCUGCCAACUGUUGCUUGUUUGAGACAAG
RNAcentral lists this long non-coding RNA (776 nucleotides) under Equus asinus (donkey). RNAcentral's name for it is "lncRNA (ENSEASG00005028201.1)". Lineage: Eukaryota; Metazoa; Chordata; Mammalia; Perissodactyla; Equidae. The record is from RNAcentral.